Molecule: long non-coding RNA, 4875 nt
Organism: Homo sapiens (human)
Lineage: Eukaryota; Metazoa; Chordata; Mammalia; Primates; Hominidae
Source: Ensembl
GUUAUAAAUGGUAUGUGGGCUGAAGAUAGGGCUUCUGUAUUUUCUGACUCCCUUCUCUGUGAUUUGUUUUGUGACUUGUCCUUUGGAGGGUGAAGAAGUGAGACCCUACAUGGCUUUUUAGUGCAUUGAUGGAGCAGAGACACGUCUAUGAACAACUGCCUAUGCAAACUGAUUACUCGGCAGUAUAAUUUAUCAGUUUGUAUGAGUAAGUGAGUGCUUCUCACUAUGGAUUUAGCUUGCACUUCAAUUUAGUUCCAUUAUCUUGCUUUGGAUUUAUGGAAAUUCUGAACAGUGAUGUGAGAGUGACUACAGUUUGAAGUAUCUGUUAAAUACAGCAACAUGACAUCACAAGGAUUGUUUUGGAGUCUUCUGGAUAUGAGAACAUUAUAAAAGGUGAAAAAGUAGAACUGAAAUAUGAAGGGAGAAAAAGAGACAAACAUGGUUUCAAGUCUCACUUAGAGAAGAAGGAUUGUUUAUUUAUUUGAUGGAAAUUGGGUCAAUUGAAGACUCUGACACAGAGAAUAACGGUACCAGACCUGAGUCCAGUCUUAGCUUUAGUAGGAACAAAAUGUAUCAAUCAAAUUUAUAUAGGACCAAAUACCAGUGAAAGAAAUUAGACAUAAUUACUGAAAGAAUAAAUUACAUGAGAUAUUCACUGUACUUAGCCACAUGACAUGAAAACCUAUGCCCUUUAGAGCAAGCACAGUUCCAUGCAAAACUGUAGAGAAGUUUUCUCACCCCUUUUUCACAUGCUUCUCACAUUGUAGCACCCCUCCUUGAAACCAUCCUACUUCUACUAUCCUCCAGUUUCCUCUGGAUUUGAAUGUCCAUAUCAUGCUAUGGUCCUUCAGUCAGCUCCUGUGUCAGAAAUCAGGGCCCUGCUCUGGGCUCUUCCUUCAUCCUGUAACUAUAGUCAAAUAAGUCCUGUUAAGUCUACUUCCUUAAAAACUCUUAAUAAUCUCUUCCCCUUCUUCAUUGCCAUUGCCUAUUGCACCAUCUUAUUCAGAACACCAUUUUUCUUACCUAUAAUGUUGAAAGUAACUCUUCAACAGUCCUGUUGCGUGCUUUAUCCCAUUGCUUCUUAUAUAACAGAUGUGGUGAUAUUUAGCCUAUUUGUAGUUCCUUGAAACCAUCCUUUGUACUGCCAUCUAAGUAAUCUUUAAAAUAACAAGAUAAAUAUUUCUAUGACCUCCAUUGUCUAAAGCAAAUUUCCAAUGUAUAUUGUGAAAAAAAUGCCAAAGAGUUUCAUGACAAAUGCUAUAUACUAUAGUCUUGGGAGAGCCACAGGGUAAAUUAGUUCUAAAGAGCUCUCUUUGGUAGAGGAAACUGUUAAAAUGUGAUCAGCCUAAUAAGAUCAUAAUCAUAUGACUAUGAACUAUUUUAAAUGUACCUAUCAAUUUUUUCAACCUACUGUUUUGAAGUAUAUUCAAUCUAUUGUCUCAAGUAUAUUUUUCAAUGUACUUGAGAGUAUAUUGACCUGAAGAGAAAAGUCCAAACUCCUAUGACCUUACUAUUGUUCUGACCUCAUCUCUCACAGCUCCCUCUUAUUCCUGGUGUUCUAUCACAUGAUAAUGAAAUUUGACAGAACAGUAUUUAUGUUACUGGGGGUGUGGGGCAUUGAGGAAGCAUGGCAAAUGAGAGGGAAGUGGUAGAAAAAUGACUUUUAUCAUGUGCCUCUAAGAAGAGACAUAUAUGGAUUGAGAUCCACUUAAAAGGGAAAAGUUAAAAAAAAUCAAAACCCAAAAAUCACCACCAUUCUGUGGAUGUGGUAUAUUUAAUUGUCUAAUAAUAAUAAAUUUCCCACAAUGUCAGAUGUUAAGAGUACAAGAAAGAGUUACAAAAGGAAGAGGUUAGGGCAAUAAAUUGAAAAGUGAGUAGAGUUGAGGAAAAUGCUUUGCUAGAUUGCUAGAUUGAAGUUUUCUUCAAUCUAGCAAAAAAGGAGACAGGAGAAAAGGAGCAAAUUGCAAAGGCAAUGGAGGGGAGAUAACAUAGCUGAUUACUAAAGAGGAUAUUUGUGUACUUAUUUGUAUGGUGUGUGUGUGUACGUGUGUGUGUGUGUGUCUGUGUAUGUGUGGUGGUACUUGAAAGACAAAUUGGAUUAGGGUAGUAUUUUGAUUCUGUGUUCAAUUCUCUGAACAAUGACUCAGCUUGAUAGGCUAUUAAUGUUUAAUAGUCCCAUAUAUUUCUCCUAUGCUGUCUACAAGAAUAUCAUUCUCAUUAUAAAAUUUUGUGUAUCUCAUUUGUCUUACAUUUUCACAAAUAUAAAAAAAUACUUCUUUACUCACUCUACAGCUCUGUGAACGUUCAGAGUAAACCUUCUUAGGAUUACUUAUGGAAAAGAAAAGAAUAUUCACUCUAUCUUGUAUAUACAAACCAUGUUAACAUUAUUUCUAGAUAUAGAACUGGCUGCAUACGAUUUCAACUGUUAUUCUGAACAAAUUUAAGUAAUUCUUUAUUCUCAGCAUAUUGGCAACAUAGAAAUGCAUUUUAGAGGUGCAGAGGCACAGAGGGAAAUUUGAGCCAAAUGAAUCUGCUAGAUAUUUCUGCACAGUUUUCAUAAUUCAUUGUUAGGUCUGGCUUCAAGGAGGGCAAAGUUCACAUAUUUCUUUUUUAUAUUGAAAUAAUCACAAUAUUAUUUUUUAGUAAAAAUGUUUGAUUUUAUUCCAAAAAAUCUUUAAGUAAGGAGUAAGAUUUCUGCAUGAUCUGCGAAAUGAAGGUGGAACAGAAUAGAAGCCCUCUUCUGUACAAUGUCACCAAAACAUCCCGAAGUUUUAUCCUGCCUGGAAAAUUUCUUACACAUGAUUCUUACUGCUUAGCUUGAAAUUGCACCUAGGAAGAAGCUUUUGUUCUCAGUGCUGCCAAAACUUCCAUUUUUCAGCAGUGACCUCAGUUUAGCACCUGCUUAUAAGAUGUGUUUGCACAUCGUUGGUACGUUAUAGUGACAUACAUGUUCUCAUCUAGGAGAUUGUCAUAGAAUUCAAGAGAUGUUAACAUUUUUCCAUCUGUGUGUGUGAAAGUGACGUUUCCUGUUAAUUUUGUUCUCUUGCUGAAUUCUCUAAGCAAAAGCCUUCUGUGGGAGGGAGAAUGAUGUCAUUAUAGUCAUAGCAUAAAAAUUUUCAACCUUUAGAAUGAGACAUAUUGUGGCAUAUAUAUUACUACUUUUAAAAGCAGUGACACAAAAACUUGGAGGACGAUGAUAUCAAUUUUAUAUUUUCAGGUGUGGGGGUUUCCAGGAGACUUGAGAAUGACUCCAGGACUCAUAGUUCUCCUGGAACAUGGUUUUCCACUGUAGCCUUAGAAGAGGAAAGCCCAUCUAUGGAUACUUAUGUUUAUGAGAAUAGAGACUUGACUGUUUAAUGUCAGAGGAAUAGAGAGUUUGGCAAGCAGAACAAUCUAUCAGUGACGGCCUUUGGAAAAAAUGGGCUAUUUUUAGUAAAAGUUUUCAUAAUGACAUGAUUUAAAGUAAAAUAAAUUAGACUUUUGAUUUCAACUCUGUGUUAGAGUUCUCCAGAUAAAUGGAACCAAUAAAAAAUAUUUACAGGAAAUGGCUCACAUAUUAUGGUGGCUAAGAAGUCCUACGAUCUGCUGUCUUCAAACUGGAGAACCAUAAAUGUCAAUGGUGUAAUUCAGUCUGAAUCUGAAGGCCUAAGAACCAAGAGAAAUGAUGGUAUAAUUCCUGGUCUGAAUCCAAAAGCAGGAGAAGAUGUCCCAGUUCAAGCAGAAGGAAUAAAUUCAUUCUUUAUCUUCCUUCUUGUUCUAUUUGUGUCUUCCAUGGACUGGAUGUUGACUGUCCACAUUGGUGAGGGCACAUCUUUUUUGUUCAGUGUACUUAUAGAAAUGCUAAUCUCUUCCAGAAACACCCUCACAGACAUAUCCAGAAGUAAUAUUUUAAUAGCUAUCUGGAUAUCCCUUAACCCAAUCAAGUUGACACAUAAAAUUAACCAUCAAAAGCUCUGACAUGUAAAAAGCUUUUUUUUUUUUUUAAUACUUUUACUGGACCCAUUAGAGAACUGAGGUUCCAGAGUAUAUUGCUACCUUGAAAUAUAGAGAAACAGGCAAAUAUGGAGAUGCUUUCAAUUUCCUUUUCUGGAAAAGAAGCCACUGGAGUCAUAAGCUGAUAAGAACACUCAAAUGAUAGUUUUAAUUUAUUGUUGGAGGCUCAGUGUGGACUACCAUGAGAAUGAGAAAUUCCUGUGAGCAGCAAUCUUGGUGCUCAGCACUCCAAACCCCUAAAUAAUUUCUUGGGUUUUUCCUGCAGGAACCACACUAAAUUCACAUGUUGAAAAGUCAAAAAAUAUCUUCUCCUGGUUCUGGGAGGAGAAGGGGAAAAUUAGCCAGUGUUAAAUACUCAUAGAGUAUUCUCCACACACACACACACAUACACAAAGAAAAGUUUACUCUGUAAGGGUAAGACUUUACUGGAGCCUUAUCCACCUGAUGAUAAGGAUGGCAUAAGGAAGUCAUUUCUUCGACUCUAGCAUCGUCUGGUCUUUCUGUGACAUUUAAGGGGGGAAAAAAAUCUAAGAACUGUAACUUGUGAAAGUUACAGUCUAUGUCUAAAGACCCACUAAAAGACAGAUUUAAUCAUAAUGCUGUAGAAUGCUCUUCCUCCCUGACUCCUUACCAUCACAUCAAUAAGGAUCCAGUAUAAUAGUGUUAUUUCCCAAAGAGCUGUAAGGUAGACUUUAUCUAAAGAGUUCUGAGGGACACUAAACACAACAGGGGAGACAAAAACAAGGGCACUCUAGGCAUUUGAAUUCUCUGGCACCUACAACUACAACAAACAGUAAACAUGGCCCUACUCCUAGCCACAUUAUCAUAAAACCCCACACUAAAGGUCUACUUACCUAAUUUCCUAACACCUACCUCAUGCAU